AGAUCGGUAACUUUCUCGUCUCCUCUCCCUUUCACCAAAAUCCUUUUUCCAUUUUGCUGAAAAACUAUAUAAACAAUAUACGUCCGCGUCACCCCCACACACUUCGCUCAUGCGUGCUUACCACGCUCCAUUUAGCAUUCACAACGAUGGUGGGACCCACUGCUCAUGCACGACACGUGUCCAUUCGCGCGUGGAGAACCCCUUGUUGGAUGCACUUUGCCCUAGUCGUCUGUGAACACAUCCUUCUCUCUCUAUAUCCACCACGAACCACCACCGUACUCCGAUCACCUUAUUCGAUUUGCUGCCCGUCUCGCCGAUCUACUAGUUUCGCAAAAUUCUGUUUCUGAGGAUUAGAAUGGAACCGAUGGAUAUUGUUGGUAAGACGAAGGAGGAUGCUUCGCUUCCCAAAGCAACUAUGACAAAGAUUAUUAAAGAAAUGUUGCCCCCUGAUGUUCGUGUUGCCCGAGAUACGCAGGAUCUUUUGAUUGAAUGUUGUGUAGAGUUCAUCAAUCUUAUCUCAUCAGAAUCAAAUGAAGUUUGUAAUAGAGAAGAUAAACGAACAAUUGCACCAGAACAUGUACUCAAAGCCUUAGAGGUUCUUGGCUUUGGGGAAUAUACUGAAGAAGUUUAUGCUGCAUAUGAACAACACAAGUUGGAGACUGUGGACACUGUGAGAGCUGGGAAGUUGAGCAAUAAUAUAGCUGAAAUGACUGAAGAAGAAGCAUUAGCUGCACAACAAAGGAUGUUUGCUGAAGCACGUGCGAGGAUGAAUGGAGUUGGUACAGUUCCGCCCAAACAGCAAGACCCGGAAACAGAGCAAAAAUUGGACUGCUAGUGCAAACAUAGGGCGUAGUUUUUCUCUGUAGGCAAGCACCUCUUUAGUUUUUACAGGUUUUAUCAUACAGGAAGCAGAAGGUUGGUGUUGGGAGGAUGUCUAGUGUAAAUAGUGAUGCUUCUUUAGUUCUCUCUUUCACUGUUUUUGUUCAGGUCAAAAAAGAGCCAGUCAAGCUAUUUUUUUCUCACCAUACCCCACAAGAAAGUGAAAUAACACAUCUUAUGUCUCCCUGAGAUUCCUUUCUUUAUUUCAAAACAUUUACCUUUCUCUCCUCACAUCCUCUCAAGCCUUCACUUUUCCCUGUGUUGUGUUGUGUUGUUAUUACUCCCAAUUCCCAUGACACUUGGUGGGGACACUUGUGUUUUUCUUUAUCAGAUUCUUAUUUGUUUGAACAAAGUAGUAGAAGCAAAACAAAUUUUAUAAAAAAUAUAAAAGAGAGAAAAAAGGAAAUCCCUUGAAUAAAGAAGUAGUAGUAACAAGAAUCUCUUUGCCCCUCACUCUUCCAUCACUUUAAAGGUGCAUCUCCUACUCUUUUUUUUUUUAGA
Solanum lycopersicum (tomato) is the source of this 1380-nucleotide RNA transcript. It is a transcript of the gene named protein Dr1 homolog, with no coding region annotated. The record is from RefSeq and is a predicted model, not a curated record. NCBI's taxonomy places the organism in Eukaryota, Viridiplantae, Streptophyta, Magnoliopsida, Solanales, Solanaceae.